CGUUAUCGAAGAUGAAGACAGGCGCGAACGAUCUACCAGAAAGUGAGCGCAGGUCUUUAGAUCUGAUACAAGUCGUAACAAGGUAGCUGUAGGUGAACCUGUAGCUGG
This 108-nucleotide ribosomal RNA is filed under the name Loma morhua. RNAcentral describes it as "partial small subunit ribosomal RNA". It matches the Rfam family "Microsporidia small subunit ribosomal RNA", at positions 1200 to 1304 of the family's 1311-position model. The record is from RNAcentral. Lineage: Eukaryota; Fungi; Microsporidia; Glugeidae.